RNAcentral lists this ribosomal RNA (397 nucleotides) under uncultured bacterium. RNAcentral's name for it is "partial 16S ribosomal RNA". It matches the Rfam family "Bacterial small subunit ribosomal RNA", at positions 523 to 918 of the family's 1533-position model. The record is from RNAcentral.
AUACGUAGGUGACAAGCGUUAUCCGGAUUUACUGGGCGUAAAGGGCGUGUAGGCGGUCUUGCAAGUCAGAAGUGAAAUUCCUGAGCUCAACUCGGGCGCUGCUUCUGAAACUGCAGGACUUGAGUGCUGGAGGGGAUAGCGGAAUUCCUAGUGGAGCGGUAAAAUGCGCAGAUAUUAGGAAGAACCCCGGUGGCGAAGGCGGCUUUCUGGUCAGUAACUGACGCGUAAGCUCGAAAGCGUGGCAAGCAAACAGGAUUAGAUACCCGGGUAUUCCACGCCGUAAACGAUGAAUACUAGGUGUAGGGGGUAUCGACUCCCUCUGUGCCGCAGUUAACACAAUAAGUAUUACGCCUGGGGAGUACGGUCGCACGGUUGAAACUCAAAUUCAUUGACGGAC